GAUGAACGCUAGCGGCAGGCUUAACACAUGCAAGUCGAGGGGUAGAGGAAGCUUGCUUCCUUGAGACCGGCGCACGGGUGCGUAACGCGUAUGCAAUCUACCUUAUACAGGGGGAUAGCCCAGAGAAAUUUGGAUUAAUACCCCAUAGUAUAAUUGAAUGGCAUCAUUUGAUUAUUAAAGUUCCACGGUAUAAGAUGAGCAUGCGUCCCAUUAGCUAGUUGGUGUGGUAACGGCACACCAAGGCGACGAUGGGUAGGGGUCCGUGAGAGGGAGAUCCCCACACUGGUACUGAGACACGGACCAG
This 304-nucleotide ribosomal RNA is filed under the name uncultured bacterium. RNAcentral describes it as "bacterial SSU rRNA". It matches the Rfam family "Bacterial small subunit ribosomal RNA", at positions 28 to 334 of the family's 1533-position model. The record is from RNAcentral.